RNAcentral lists this long non-coding RNA (1425 nucleotides) under Homo sapiens (human). RNAcentral describes it as "HSALNT0294263". The record is from RNAcentral. Lineage: Eukaryota; Metazoa; Chordata; Mammalia; Primates; Hominidae.
GGUGAUUGUUUGGUGCUGAUACAACAUUGACUUUUCCCAUAAUUUAGCUUAGAGUGUUUUACACUGGGGAGUUCCAAUGUGUUUAAAUUGUAAAACUUUUUCCGAGCAUUUUUGUAGCAGAACUCCAUGUUCUAAUAGCCCCGGCAAAGUUGUUUUUAAUACUUUUUCUCUACGAAUUUUCAUUAAAAUUUAAUUCCAUUUUAACUUUGUCAAUUUUCCCCAAAGAUAAAUUAAGACACACAGAGAGAUUGUCAUUUCCUGUUUGAAGUCUCAUUCCUGUGUACAAUGUCAGUCUUUUUUAUUUAGGCCUAUGCCAUUCCAUCAGGGUAAAUAACUUUCUAACUAGUCAUUUAAGAGCAACUCCCGGGAAACUGUGAUGCAAUCCCACAUAUCAGCCAGACUUCAAAAGCUGCCAGAUUAUUGUGAAAGGAGAAACACUGUUUUCGAAGGCUGCUGAUAAUGCCUAUUAGCCAGAAGAAAGAGCCUGAAUCAUUCAAAGGUUUUCCAUCUAGUAAAGAAGUGUGGUAAAAAUCUUGCCCAGAUCUGCAUGUGCUAAGCAUCUACGUAAGUUGGAGCAUCAUAUUAAUGACACCCAGUGAAGAAACGAAAGAAUGAAGUGUAAUUACUAUAUCAAAAAUCCACAGAAUGUGAAAGUAUAAAGGAAAACUCUCAGCUGCUCAGCUAAAAACUUUGGAGUUAGACAUAUGGACAGCCCACCCCAAGGGAAGAAUCAGAGGAGAAGGGACACAAGACCCCAGAAACACACAAAGCACCUUAAUAUGCAUGCUGCAUCUCUCUAAAAUUGUGGAACCUGUUUACCUGCUCUGGAGAAUGGCUGCCUGUGGCAGACAUAGGAGUUGUCCUCAUGCUGUGCUUCCUAUCUUCCACAGUAAUUGACUUGUAGCUGCAAUACAGUUACCAACCAGGAAUACAAUUUCUCAGCCCCAUGUCUUGCACCUACAGCUAAGUGUGGCCAUGUGACCAGUUUUCACCAAUUAAGUGUGAAUAGCAACAAAGUGCACCACCUUCAAUUGGAGGCUUUGAAGAAGCAGGGCAGCCUUCCCUUGCUCUCUUUCCCCUUGUUCUGGUGGGAUACAGAUGACAAUAAGGCCCUGGGUUUUGAGGUAGCCACAAGAUGCAAAAUACCUCAGACCUGAGUCACCACAAGGAAGAGAGAAGCCCACUGACAUGGAAUACCCAGCCUAGUCUACAGAUGAAUAAGAAAUAAACUUCUAUUAUGUUCGAACAUUACAGAUUUUGUUCUGUUAUAGCAGUUUAUCUCACCCUGACUAAACUGUUGCCUAUCUUCCAAGAUAGGCCCUCCUUCCCUGAAAGUGACUUUUUCAUACAUGUAAUCUGUAUUUUAAUUCAUAUUCUCCAAAGCAUAUCCACAUCUAUUCAACUAUUUUCAUGUCUUCCAUCAAU